This 744-nucleotide ribosomal RNA is filed under the name Triticum aestivum (bread wheat). RNAcentral's name for it is "partial small subunit ribosomal RNA". Lineage: Eukaryota; Viridiplantae; Streptophyta; Magnoliopsida; Poales; Poaceae. The record is from RNAcentral.
AUGGAUCACGGACUAAAAAUCGUUGUUUGGAAUGUACGUGGCCUCAACUCGCGCGCCCGACGUAGUGCCAUCCGUUCACUGUUGGGCACUACUGGAGCCUCCAUUGUAUGGCUUCAGGAAACAAAGAUGGCUUUGAUCUACUCGCCCACCGUGCUUGACAUUCUCGGCUCCGAGUUUGACGACUUCACAUACCUGCCGGCUGAUGGCACGCGAGGCGGCAUUCUCUUGGCCUGGAAGAGCAGGGCUGUCACGAUCUCCGACCCAAUGUUCACGCGGAACGCGCUCACGGCCAAAGUAUCCGUGGCCUCCGGGACACUGUGGUGGCUGACAAAAGUCUACGGACCCCAAGACGACACGGAUAAAAUCUUGUUCCUCCAAGAGCUUCGCGAUAUUCGGGCGGCAUGCCCCGGCCCAUGGAUGCUAUGUGGUGAUUUCAACCUCAUAUACCGCAACGAGGACAAGAACACGGCUGGCCUGCAUCAGCGCAUGAUGGUUAGAUUCCGCCGCGCCAUCAAUGACCUCGCCCUGAAGGAGAUAUAUCUCAACGGGCGUCGCUUCACAUGGUCGAACGAGCAAUCGCCUCCCACGCUAGUGCACCUUGACCGCGUCCUUUGCAUGUCGGACUGGGAAGAUGCGCACGGCGAAUGCCACCUCCGGUGCCUCGCUUCGGUCAUGUCGGAUCACUGCCCGCUGCUUCUAGAUUGCUCCCCCAUGCCGUCUGCGCACAAACGCUUCCACUUCGAG